RNAcentral lists this unclassified non-coding RNA (2913 nucleotides) under Hevea brasiliensis (rubber tree). The record is from RNAcentral. Lineage: Eukaryota; Viridiplantae; Streptophyta; Magnoliopsida; Malpighiales; Euphorbiaceae.
UAAAAAAAAAAAAAAAAAAAAUCAUUUUUGAAAAAAUAGAAAUAAGCAUUAUUGUGUGAGGAUUCAUUUAAUUUUUUUUUGUUUUUACAAAUGAUUUAUUUUAAACGAAGCCAAUGUCAAUAAGAUGAAGAAGAGUUGAAUAAAAUUGAGCUUUCUUUGCUAAGCAGUUCUGUAUUUGCAUAUUGAUUUAGUUGUGCAAAUGGGAUUUUCCUAAUGUUUUGACUAUAAUCAAAUAUUAUUAAUGUCUAUAAGACCAAGGUUCAAAGGAUUAAGACUGAUUUCCUUCUUGGAUUUUUCUAAUGAAGAUGUUUUGACACUGGAAUCCAUUGAGAAUCAGUUUGUUGGUCAAUUUUUUUAAAGGGAAAGAUGGACUACGUCUAUGGACCAGGAAGGAACCAUCUGUUUGUUCCAGGGCCUGUUAAUAUCCCGGAACCAGUUAUUCGAGCAAUGAAUAGGAACAAUGAGGAUUACCGUUCUCCAGCUGUUCCUGCUUUGACAAAGACUCUUCUUGAGGAUGUCAAGAAGAUUUUCAAGACUACUACAGCAACUCCAUUUCUUAUCCCAACCACAGGUACUGGUGCAUGGGAAAGUGCACUUACCAACACAUUGUCUCCUGGAGAUCGGAUUGUCUCUUUCCUGAUUGGACAAUUCAGUUUGCUCUGGAUCGAUCAGCAGCAGCGCCUUGGCUUCAAUGUUGAUGUUGUCGAAAGCGAGUGGGGUCAAGGUGCCAACCUUGACAUUCUGGCAUCAAAACUGGCAGCAGACACUGCACACACUAUUAAGGCUGUUUGCAUUGUUCAUAAUGAGACAGCAACUGGAGUUACCAACAAUUUGGCAAAAGUGAGAAGAAUACUUGAUGACUACAGUCAUCCAGCUCUCUUUCUUGUUGAUGGAGUAUCCUCCAUAUGUGCUCUUGAUUUCCGUAUGGAUGAAUGGGGAGUAGAUGUUGCUUUAACUGGCUCUCAGAAGGCGCUUUCUCUUCCUACUGGUAUGGGAAUUGUGUGUGCGGGCCCCAAAGCUCUUGAAGCAACUAAAACUGCAAAAUCGGUUAGGGUGUUCUUCGACUGGAAUGACUACUUGAAGUUCUACAAACUUGGAACAUAUUGGCCAUACACCCCAUCCAUCCAAUUGCUCUAUGGACUUAGAACAGCUCUGGAUCUCAUUUUUGAGGAAGGACUUGACAAUGUGAUUGCAAGGCAUGCUCGUCUGGGCAAAGCAACAAGGUGAUUCCUUUUUCCUUCUAGCAUUGAUAAGUUCAUCUAAAUGAUACAAAUAAACCUUUUCCCUUUUCUUUAUUGAGUAAAUGGAUUAUGGAUUGAUGCAAAUGACAUGUCUCAAACCUUAUAAUGUAGACUUGCUGUGGAGGCAUGGGGCUUGAAGAACUGCACCCAAAAGGAGGAAUGGUUCAGUGACACAGUGACCGCUGUCGUCGUUCCUCCAUACAUCGAUAGUUCAGAAAUUGUUAGGAGAGGAUGGAAAAGAUACAAUUUGAGCUUAGGUUUGGGUCUCAACAAAGUUGCAGGGAAGGUAUUCAGAAUAGGGCAUCUUGGCAACCUGAAUGAGGUAAUCUUCAUUUCUCAUAUACUUUAAUUGGUUAUUUACAUAUUGCAAUUCAGUAUUUAAAAUGUGACUUUUUUUUUUUUUCAUUUAUCUUAGAAUUCUGGAGAAGCAUUUACUUUGAUAUUAUGCAUUAUGGUUUCAUAGUCUGGACUCUGGUCCUCAAUCUAACAUCAACACGUAAGAAAGAAAACAUAAUCAGAGUCGAAGCAUUUAAUUUUUUGAUAUGUUAAGGAACGUGCACUGCUGAAUGUUCUAUUGAUAGUAGUUAAAUAGGUCAAAAAAAAAAAAGUUUGCAUUUAAUGAAAUUAAAAAACUAUAAUAUAUUCCUUAGUGUUGUAUGACAAAACUAGGGCUCAAUUGUGAUCCGAGGUCUUAAAAACCCUAUGUUCAAACUGUAUAAUGCUCCUGCACGUACGUAUGAAUUGCCUAAUCAUACUAUUGUGCUUUCCUGAGUAUCUUCUAACAUCUGAUCAUUACUGUAUUGAGCCAGCUUUAGCUUCUAUCAGAUUUGGUCAAUUACUGCAACUUUCAGCUUUUGUAAUAUAAUGAUUGCUAAUUUGGUAAAGAUAAGAAUUUCAAUCCCUGACACCUUCUUUCCCUUAGAAAUUUCUGAUGCAGUCACAGAAACUUGUUAGAAAUUAGUGUGAGACCGAGUUAUGUUCUUCCUAUUAGAUCCUGAAUCAUAACCAGAUAUUUUGUUGAGGUUAUGCACUAUGGUUUGUUAGCGUUCAGUAAUAUUUUCUCCUGAAGCACUUUCGUUUCAAGUAUAAAAGCAUUGAAAUUACAACACUCUAGGAGCAAAUUGUUUCAAGGGUUGCAAUUUCUGACUUCGAUUUGUGCUUGUAUUUUCAGUUACAACUUUUGGGUUGUCUGGCUGGAGUGGAGAUGAUACUCAAGGACGUGGGUUACCCAGUUCAGCUGGGAAGUGGAGUAGCAGCAGCCUGUGCUUACUUGCAGAACAACACCCCUCUAAUCCCUUCCAGGAUUUAAUUCAUCUACCAUCCAUCCAUAUCGUUAUUCUUCUUUUUUUUCCUCCGCUAUACGCUGCAGGGAACUCUGUAAAAAAUAUGCAUGGUUUCUUCUUCUUGUUGUACUCUUUCUAGGUUCAAAUCAUCUCCUACCUAAAUCAUUGCUUUCCAGUUGUCCUGUAUCUUAAAUACUUUCAAGCACAAUCUAAUUUCUUCCUUCUUUUUAACUUACGCAUUCUCUGAAUAUUUAAUAUGAUAGAUUACACUGUCUGGGUUAGGGAAGGUAUCUUUGAUGAUGAUGAUCUACUGCGCUUUGAUGCUAUAUUUUGAUGAUUAUAAGAGCUGUAUAGUUUACCAAAUCACAGAUGAGUCUGUUUUUUUUUUC